RNAcentral lists this small RNA (305 nucleotides) under Rahnella variigena. Its description in RNAcentral is "Soft rot Enterobacteriaceae Rev 39 5'UTR". It matches the Rfam family "Soft rot Enterobacteriaceae Rev 39 5'UTR". Rfam says of the family: From bacteria cultured under starvation conditions. The record is from RNAcentral. Lineage: Bacteria; Pseudomonadati; Pseudomonadota; Gammaproteobacteria; Enterobacterales; Yersiniaceae.
AAUGUUGUCAUUAAAUAGCUGACUGUGAUAACUCUGUAGGCAAUCGUUCGCAAUAUGAAUUAUAGAAACCUAAAAAUGAAAGCCCUUCUCCUCGUAGUUAGCCUAGUCGUGAUUAGCGUGGUGGUGAUUAUUAUCCCACCGUGCGGGGCUGCACUUGGACGAAGAAAGGCUUAUUAAACAAGCCUGAACCUGAAAAGAAACCCCGCACCGAAAGGUCCGGGGUUUUUUUUUGGGUCAGGAAUUUCAGAGAACAGUGAAGCGGGGUCGGAAAAUGAGCAACAGCAUAAUAUUCUGCACUUGUCGCA